Non-coding RNA from Pogona vitticeps (central bearded dragon), 357 nucleotides. The record is from RefSeq and is a predicted model, not a curated record. Lineage: Eukaryota; Metazoa; Chordata; Lepidosauria; Squamata; Agamidae.
GAAACAGAUGCUGAUAUAAUUACACAGGAAGAAACAUGACUUGCCAGUUUGAAAAGACACCUUCAGCAUUACAAUACCAGCAAGGUACCUCCAGCUUUGUGACGGUUUGACAUGGGAGGACUCCUAUAAACAGAAUUGCAACAGUUGAAAAACCAGGCUAGAGCACUGGCAAAAAAGAGGACCUUUAGACUUCAAGAGGAGUGUGCGUACCUCUGAUGGUGUCUUUAAUAGUUGAUUGACCCCAAGUUACAGCAGUAUGAAAUAGAAAGAAAAACAAGUCAUUUUCUCCAUGGUAUGAAGAACCUUAUACAUCUCUGUCAUAUGGCAGAGUUUUUGCCUUUCUUUCCUUAUUUUAAA